UACAGUGGGCAGAUGAACUGGAUGUAAAUACAGAAUUACCUAACUUUCCUUGACUAUGAAUUCAACAUUCAAGAAUCUUCUUCUGGUAGCAGGAGCGGCAGAGAGGACAGGCAUGGAAAGGAGGCCUGUCUCCCACGGAGAACUCCUCUAGUGCCAGCAGACACGCAUGGUGGAACACGUGUGAGCAGGACAGGAGGGCCAUCUCUCUGGAACGCCGGCCCGCGCCCACGCGCUGACCGCCAGCAGCGGAGAGAGGGGCCAGGCAGAUGGAGCACUCGUGGGUCUCCCGGCGCAGAGCCUGCGGCACACAGGACGGGAAGAGGCCACGCGGGUUAGUUUCAUCACAGCAGAAAGUUACUUCAACUGAAAUGCGAACCACGUGCCCCGAGACAUGGGUCUUCGAAACAUGCGGAAGUUUCAUUCUGUGUUAAAAUCACAGGCAUUAUAUAUAUAUAUA
Molecule: small RNA, 457 nt
Filed under: Pan troglodytes (chimpanzee)
Lineage: Eukaryota; Metazoa; Chordata; Mammalia; Primates; Hominidae
Description: processed transcript
Source: RNAcentral